Ictalurus furcatus (blue catfish) is the source of this 1450-nucleotide long non-coding RNA. RefSeq lists it as uncharacterized. The record is from RefSeq and is a predicted model, not a curated record. The transcript has 3 exons. Lineage: Eukaryota; Metazoa; Chordata; Actinopteri; Siluriformes; Ictaluridae.
UCUUCACAUAGAAUAUGAAGCUCUCUGUGGUAGGUCAUAAGAAUAUAUAUAGUUUUGUUAAAUCUGGUUCACAUCCAAAUCGUGACCAUACCUGGUACGACCAUUUGUUCCCCCACCCCACCCCACCCCACCCCACACAGACACAAGUUGCAUACACCUGGUACAUCUUUUCACAUAGAAUAUGAAACUCUCUGUGGUAGGACAUAAAAAUAUAUAUAGUUUUGUUAAAUCUGGUUCACAUCCAAAUCGUGACCAUACCUGGUACGGCCAUGUGUAUCCCACAUCCAAACAAAAAUAUCACACACCCACACACACACACACACAAACACACACGUGCAUGUACAGACAAACGCAUGCAUACAAACCUGCUUAUAAAAGUCGAGCAUCCCUCUAGGCUUUAUAAUACUCUGUACUUAGAACAACGUGUGCGAUCUUACAACAUGGCUGAUGUUUGUCCUAACGCGCCGAAAAAAGCUCACCCUUUUUUGGGAAGAAUAGAAAAAAUGUUAGAACAUGAAAAGAUUCAAUAUUGGGUAAUGUCAAACGGAUGUACAGCCGGGUUUUUUUUCGAUGCAGAAAAAGGAACCGUUUUGCUUUUCAAGUUCUCGGUCCCGGCACACACGAUCUUUUCCUUUCACGUAGAAUAUGAAGCACUCCGAGUCAGGCCUAGGUCAAAAGGUCAACAACGUAAAAACCCCGUUCUGAUGCAUUCCCGAGCACAAACACACCCCACACACACACUCGAAUGCAUACGAACCUGUUUAUAAAGUCGAGCACUUCGAAAGUUUUAACAUCGGAAAAGGUUCGACCGAAUUUCCAGAGUCAGUUCUUCACUACUUCGAAAGUUUGAACAUCGGCAAAGUUCAACAGAAUUUCCAGACCCCAUGGAUUUCUCGGCAGGUAAAAAUUUGUAUUUUAAUCAAUUAAUAGUUAAAUAUAAAUUGAAAUACAAUGUUUAUGUAAUUAUCCAGUAGGCAAUGAUAUUGAUAUAAACUUAGAACUAAUCAUUCUGAGUACAAAAAUCAUCAUACUUAUCUGGUCAUUAUGUAAUCUGGUACGAUACUUUAUCUAAAUUGUAAAUAUUCAUUACAUUUAUAUUACAGUGCAAGACCGAGUUAAGCUCAUCUGUUUCUAGUGUAUAGGUAAUUAAAAUUUGUCUCUUAGAUCUAUGUAGUGAUCUAAAAUGAGAAUGUUAAGUUAUUAAAAGUAUGUUUUACUGUUUUAUAGACAGCUUGGUGAUUAUUUCUGAUGAUGAGAUUCCCGAAACAACCACUCAGGACCUUUUGAAUCUGAGUUCCACACAAUUUGAGGGACACGUGUCUAACAGUGAUUACGACGGAGAUAUUUCAGAUACGAGUGCUGCAAUAGAAGACCCAGAGGAAAUCAUCUCGGAAACCGACAUUCAACAAGACAUCGAACUACAACAGAUCUGCGCAGUGUGGCGUGAAUU